GAAAUGCGAUAAGUAGUGUGAAUUGCAGAAUUCAGUGAAUCAUCGAAUCUUUGAACGCACAUUGCGCCCCUUGGUAUUCCAUGGGGCAUGCCUGUUCGAGCGUCAUUUGUACCCUCAAGCUCUGCUUGGUGUUGGGUGUUUGUCCCCGUCUCCGCGCGUGGACUCGCCCCAAAGUGAUUGGCAGCCGGCGUACUGGUCCCGGAGCGCAGCACAUGUCACGCAAACGAGUGCCUUGGUACGGCGGCGUCCAUAAGCCCCUCUCUCACGCUCUUGACCUCGGAUCAGGUAGGGAUACCCGCUGAACUUAAGC
RNAcentral lists this unclassified non-coding RNA (310 nucleotides) under plant metagenome. RNAcentral describes it as "partial contains 5.8S ribosomal RNA, internal transcribed spacer 2, and large subunit ribosomal RNA". The stretch from base 1 to 105 matches the Rfam family "5.8S ribosomal RNA", at positions 50 to 154 of the family's 154-position model. The record is from RNAcentral.